GAUCACGUGACAUAGCAACAGCUUCAGUAGCAACGAGCUGCAAAUAUUGUCAAAGCGCAAAUUUAACGGCUGUUAAGAUUUAUCGAAAAUAAUGGGUUACGGACAAGUGUUUAGUUACGGAAAUGUGUUCAUAGCUUCUUACCAGUACAGGCCAAGCCAGCCUGUCUGGAGACCUGUCUCAACCUGGACUGCUCCCUCUAGCUACAAAUCUAACCCCUAUAAGUGGGUCAACCCCCGUCUGAGGUCCUGCUCUGACCAGUGCAAGGCUGAUCUUCAGCCUGUCAGGUCUGAGCCAAGACCAGGGCCUGGUUAUUCUGCCACUUACAGUGGUAGGCCUGCAGAUAGAGCCAGUCCCAUAGAGAGCUACAGGUCAGCAGACCCGGCACCCCUUCAGCUGGCAGACAUAUCUGUAAGGUCUAGUGAGUCUCGUAGAUACAGAGAGAAAUCACAGGCCUCAAGGUCUAAGGACCGAUCUCCUCCUCCCAAGAGAUUAUGGGGAGAUUUCAUUGUGCUGGAUGAGUACAGAAGUGAAAGUGAUACCUCCCUGGCAACCAGUUCUGGCAGCGAAUCUUCUCUAGCAAGUAGCUGUGGCUCUGGGAGUAACACAUCACUGAGUGAGAUUUCCUCAAGCAGUAGCACUGUCCUGUACAGCACUGGAAGUGAAUCAUCCCUAGAUGAUGAAAGUGACUGCAGUGUGGCUAAACCAGCUGUGGAGGCAGGGGACCAUGAGCCCAAAGAGAAACUAGAGCUGUGGGGGACCUAGUCUUGGACAGGUCACUCUGAGCCUCAUCAAGAAGCCUCAGCCUGUUUCCAUGGUUACAGCUGACAGACUGUCAACUCCAGUGACCACUCCCAAACCAAGUUUCAGUGGUCAAGUGAAACCUCCACAGUUGGAGAAACAUGUCCCAGCUGAACUGCCAGAGCUUUGGGGAUGCUAUAUGAGUGCUGCGAUGCAGAGGCAGAUGGACCAGUGGGAGAGAGAGGCUAAUAGCCUGAACAUCAAGGCUCCAUCUAGCACUGGUCAGAUUCCUUUGACAAAACCUGGGUCUGCAUCUAACCCAUUGAUGCAGUCCAGUGUGGUUGCUAAGCAGCAAGUCACUUGGUGUGCUCCCAAACACUGCCUCCAGUCUAGUGUGGUUGCUAGGUCAGUUGUCAUGCCAACCCAGCCUGCACUGCAGUCAGCUGUGGGUGCCUCGACCACCCCUGUUCAGAGGAUCAUACCUGGCCCUUCACCAGCUGCCAGAUGGGGCCCCAGCUCUUACCCACAAUCCUCUGUGAGGUGUUCAGCUGCUAGGAAACGGCCACUGGAGGAGUAUGAGAAUGAGGCUGCUCCCUCAGCCAAGAUUCACAUUAACAAGAACCACCCAAGGUUCAGACACUUGUUCCAAUAAACAAGUGUGGGUGGAGGAUAAGUAUGUUUUUUAUUAUGUACAAAAAAACCCCCCAGAAAAUGAAGCAUAUGCCAAAAAAGUACAAAAAUAUAUAUGAAGCAACGCUUCGCCAAAAAAAAGUAAAAAAACACAAAAAUACAAAAAAAGAUGUAGUGUAGGUUUUGUAGUGAAGUUAUGUAGUUAUCCUAUUUAAACUGUAUUGUAGAGUAGUUUACUGUUUGUUUUAUGUUUCUCCUUUGUUCAACCAUGCACAGCAUGUUCAUGGUUAGCAUUUGGGAUACCGUGAUUUCUGUAUGUGGUUGCAUCAAUGUAUCUGUUGAUUGUUUCCCGUCUUUUUCUCAUAAACUACCAAAUUUGACAUAACUUCAGAGAUAUGUUGCUCAGGUGGGAAAUGUUCAAUGAGUUCCAAUCAACUGCAUAUUAUCGUUACCAGAGAAACACUAGAUUUUUAAAUAAACAAAUCUCCCCUGGAACUACAACUACAAGGUUCAGAGUUCUAACUUUAUGUUUGUAAUAUUGUUUUUUGAUAAUUAAUGAAGUAUGUAGCAUUUCUUUGGGGUCAAAACAAGCAAUAUGUCAUGUUUUCACAUUUUUUAUACAGGUUUACAAAAAGGUUGAAAAUUGUUGUUAUUUUAUGUGUUACUGGGGUCUGGCAGAUAGGGUUGGGGUAGGGGGGGAUUUGGCGUCAAACAGGUAUUCAAAAACCAAUCUUAAUGAACUUUGGAUAUAGCAAGCUUGCAAUGGAGACUUAUAUUGGGAUAGCUUUGGGGCUAGUUGGGUGAAGGUCAUUGUUACUUACAAUCGAAAAACCAUCAAUGAGGUGGUUUCAUAACAAAAAACAUACGUUUGCAUAGACCAAUCUUGAUGAAUCUUAGGAUACUACAAGUCUGCAUGAAGACCUAACUUAUGAAUGUUUUUGGGGUUUGUCUGGUAAAAAUCAAGGUCAGCGAUACAAAAAAAAAUGGAUUAUGGUGUGUGUAGAAUAUUCAUAUGCAGACCUAGCACGGAUAUUAAUUUAGGGCCAGUGGUAUAAAGGUGAAGGUCAUUGUAACCCAAAUAUAGUUCUGUUUUUGCUCAAUGACUUGGGAUUCCACCUGGGACCACUUAGAUAUAAUGCUAGGUCACUGUUUCUGAAAAUUAAAAAGUGUUUCCGCUCACUAGCUUGAUUUUUAUGAGGAUAUUGUUCUGAUAUUUUGUAUGUCGUAUGCUGGUAUCUUGCAUGCAUACCAGGUUAAGGAUUUUAUUUGGGACCAUUUAGAUUGUGGUCAAAGUAAUGGUUACUAACAAUAAAACAAUAAGUUUUCUGUUUUAGUUUUGAUGGAGGAAUUAGGCAGAAAUUGUAUGUGUAGCUUACAUGCAGACCAUGUUUGGGAUUGAACAAACAUGGAA
Dreissena polymorpha is the source of this 2780-nucleotide RNA transcript. RefSeq lists it as uncharacterized. The transcript is spliced from 5 exons. The record is from RefSeq and is a predicted model, not a curated record. NCBI's taxonomy places the organism in Eukaryota, Metazoa, Mollusca, Bivalvia, Myida, Dreissenidae.